RNAcentral lists this long non-coding RNA (416 nucleotides) under Helianthus annuus (common sunflower). RNAcentral's name for it is "sRNA HanXRQr2_Chr03g0105171". The record is from RNAcentral. Lineage: Eukaryota; Viridiplantae; Streptophyta; Magnoliopsida; Asterales; Asteraceae.
UAGAUGAGAUUAGCUCAGCUUCUCCCCAUCAAAAAACAACCAACAGUUGAGCAUGUUUAAUAUAAAGGGCAAAUGCUAGAUAAGAGUAUCUAAUCAUACGAUCAAAAGAGAAAAACUGAUUCCCUAAGAGUAUCUAAUCAUACGAUAGGGAGAAGCUGAGCAUGUUUAAUAUAACGGGCAAAUGCUAGAUAUUUUUCCUUCCACCAGGCCCGGAGAUUAUCAGACGCCCCGCUAACGGGCUUCCAGUUUUCCGGAAUGAUUCCGUAAACAAACCCUUGAGCCUUGCAAACUUCCAAGAUUUUAAGCAUGUACUUCAAGAUCCCAUCUUGGGCACACGACAUCUUCUUGCGUCGCGCUUGUUCUUGAGACUGACGUUGUUUGGUGUUAUCGACGUCUUUACCUUUGCUUUGAUCUUU